Ictalurus punctatus (channel catfish) is the source of this 4630-nucleotide long non-coding RNA. The record is from Ensembl. NCBI's taxonomy places the organism in Eukaryota, Metazoa, Chordata, Actinopteri, Siluriformes, Ictaluridae.
GUGGAGAGGAGAAAAAACAACAACAACAACAACAAAAAAAACAAGCACAAGCACCUGCUCACAAAGUGCAACGCCAGUCCGUCCAUCGCCAACACACAUCCCCAUGACAACCAGAGGCCAAUGAGAGGACCGUUACAGCUUGGGUCGUACGAGCUUCCAAAUGCACCGGAUAAAUAACCUGAGCCGAAAGUGAAGGAUCUGCCAUUAGCCAGAAUACGGCGUGAUACGUUACAGCCUCGUAGAUUAGGACUCAUGCGAAAAGAAACGUAUCUGAAUGACGAGCCGAAUCUUUUCCGUUAGUCAUGACUCAACUGAAAAGAACCCAGAUCUGAUCCUGUUCUCUCGUUCUUUCAUACACAGCGGUGGAUAAAUAAUAAUCUCUCUACCAAUGAAAGCGGCGACACAAAAAGAACAUUAUCCACGUGAACUCUUGUGUUUCUUAAGCUUAAUCUUAAUCGGAUCGUGACAACAAUCCUUCCAAUCUACCAGGCGUGAUUCAUCAUUAAAAGCUAAAUCUGAGCUUCACAAACUAAACAGAGCCUAGAUCUCAUCCUCUUGUACUUUCACAUCCAGCACAGGACAGCAUCAGGAUUCCUCCCCUGCCUCCGUCCCCCUCGGGGCCAGCACUGCUUUAAUUUAUUACCGACUGGCAUGAGGCCAGGCAAACAUGCAGAUCUGGCAUGCUGGCAGAGGGCUGCCACUCACCCCCUCAGCGCUCUCUCUCUGACACACACACACACUCCUGACAGAGCGUUUUGUCAGGGGGGUGAGGGUGAGGGGUAUGUGUGUGUGUGUGUGUGUGCUGUCAGUGGCACAAGGAGCCAGCGGUGGGUUUCUGCGAGAACUCUGCCCAGCUCACGGCAGCCGGUGUUACGGCUACUUAUAGCUGAGCAAUAAAUCAAGCUGUCAGUCUCGGUCAUGCCCGGCCUGUUUCACUGUUCCACGCUCCUCUAGCGCUCAACUUCCUGCCUCAAAAAAAAGCGUGACACAGCAUGUCCUGAGUGGACAUCUCCAGAGGAAAAAAAAAAAGUAAAAAAAAAAAAUUUUUGGGCUUAAAAGGACAAUGUAUGACGUAAUGACGACGUGUGUAUUUGGGGAAGACAAUGACUUUUCCAUCGUCCCUGCCAAGUCAAGUCUGUUUUUCACUUUCUUUUUCUUUCUUUCUUUUUUUUAAAUGUAGAUUGUAGUUUCUUGUUAACUCUAUUAAAAAGAAGACGAGUGGGAAAUAGCACACAGUUAUCAAGCUAAUUCAUGUAGCAUUACCGUAGCUGGCUCCGAUAGCGCCAUUCAUUUUCUUAGCAGAUAUUCAUGAUGUGUCGCUCUGUCAGUUAUUUAACACCGAGUAUCUGUGACGACACACAACAAUGUCGUCCGGGUAGCUACAGCUAGCUAUAAUCUUCCUCUGGAUUGAAAAAGAAAAAAAAAAAAACAACCCCAAAACAAAACAAGGGAAAGAUUAAUGCUGCAGCCGAGCUAAAGGCAUUCUGUUAGUGAUACGUAGCAACGCUAGCUUCUCGUUUAACAUACAGUACGUAGGCUACUGUAUGAAUUAAAUCACCCAUAAAUCAUAGUGAUAGUGAUGAAGAAAUAUUGAAAUUUUCUCCACCAACAUCCCUGAGCAGCAGGGGUCGACUUUCUAUUUGUAGGUUUUUGUUUUAUAGUGAUUUCAUUUUUAUUCGAUGCUGUUUCGAAUGAUUCUGCUUUCAAUCUCUUGAAUGUGCUGUCACACACCGAUCAUCACUCAUUGAUUCCGGUUUGUCCCAUUCAAGUUUUUGUUAUGUUUUCCUACUUCUGCUUAAAAAAAAAUGUUUUUAGCUAGUUGGCUACCUUUACCGACGGUUUAACAAAGCGUAGCUUUUAUCAUUAGUGACUUAGCAUGGUGCUAACUCUUUCACUUGAACUACAAGAUUCUACAGAUUUGCAUCCGAUUGGAGAUGACUGUGUAAAGUUGGUGUAUAAUUUGCUAUGAAGUGAAAGUCUGUCAGAGUUACAAAUGAUGACUAGAUAUUUAAAGACCGUCACGACAAACUUUGAUGCUGGCUUGACAAAACCGGUCUGAAACUUUAAAAUAUUGAUCAGUGGGAAAUCUGAAGCUAAUGUCCAGCCAGGCUCCUUCCGUCAAUGUAAGUGAAUGGGAGUUCUUGGGACAUAUAAUCGUCCGCUACAGGAAAACUGAGUCCCCGAUCAGGUAGACAGAAUAGAGCAUGAACAGCCUGAAGGACGGUGCCGAGUUCGGUGGAAGUAGCUUGAAAGCUCAAGGAAUUAUAACAGUCAGAAAAAUUGAAUGUAAGUCAAUGGGAAUUUUGGCCACUUGGAGCUUCCAUAACGGGAAUUCUGUAACUCCGAUCACUUAGAAAAGUCGUAGAAACUCGGGUCAGAACAGACUCAAGUUUCGUGUUUGGUGCAUGUAGCUUGAAAGCUCUGGGACGAAUACCACUUAAAAUUUUGGGGUCUCAGAAUGAAUAAUAAUAAUAAUAAUAAGCAGCUUAUAAAGCAGAACAGUAUGUUCAUAAACACCAAAUGUUUACAGUAAGUGAUUUGCAUAAUGAAUUGCAGGCAUACUCUUAGUAUAAAAUGAUCAAAAACAGCCUUUUAUUAAAUAUUUGCUACUGAAUUUUAAUUGUAUGGUGCUUUACCCUUCACCCUUUCCCUGAAAAACAAGAAAAAUUGAAGCCUACUCCUGAUAUGGGAGAAUGUGGUGUACCUACCGUUAUCAGGCGAAGAGGCAGCCGAUGUACAGAAUAAUAAUAGUAAUACGUUCCUCAGCUCAAGGUCACUUUAUAAAACCAAUCAAAAAUACUGCGAAGAACAAAAGUCACAAGAGCACAAAAGUAAACCAGAAGAAAAAAAUCCCCCACAACCUGAGGCCUUAAAAGGAAUGACAAUUUUAUCUAACAAUUUGUUGUUGUUGUUUUGUUUUUUUUUUAAACAGAGCGAUAGCGUUUUCACAUACUUUGUAGAGCUUUGGCGCUCACUGGCACGUAAUAAUCGUGUGUUGAACUAAUUUUUUUGCAGUUAUUAGGUGCCUGGGGAGCAAAUCCAAAAUGAAGUGUGUGAAGUGUUGUGCUCCGUUAUUGUAUUAUAUAAUCAGACCCUGGAUCCAUAUAGCGCUAAAAGCAAAAUACCUCGAUAGUCUGUAUGUUUUUAUAGACAAAUGACAGAUGUACCUCUUCUCUCAGACAGUAAGACGAUGACAGACCAGCAUCCCAGGAUCGGAGUUCCCAGGGUAUGCAUGUCGCAUCAGUUUAAGCACCAGCAAGCAACGGUUUUAAAAUUAAAAUUAAGCUUCAAAUUAAUUUAAGGAAUGUUUGCUUGAUGCACGUCCCAGUUGUAGUAUUCGUUUUACGGGACAUGAUAUCUAGUAUAAAUAUCACUAAUAGCUCAAAUUUUAUUGCGCAUGAUUAACAGCAUAACAUUUUGCCCCACCACUUUUGGAGUAGUUGUACCACCCCUGAUUUUAGAAGUGGAUUAACGAUGACGUGAUAAAUAUCUGGUAUGAAUCUAACAGUUCAACGACCUCACAUGCAGCCAGUUAAUUAGCAAACUCGCUGCAGGACGUGCCACGACGCAGUGAACAUUCUCUCGUGAGACAUAGUGUGGAAAACAAGAUGGCGGCCACCAGGUUCUGGACUGCUAGGUAAAACGUCCGACCUUCUCGCUUCAAAAUUUGCACCAUCUAAUCAGACGACGUGAAAGCUCUCAUGGAUUACAUCAAGCAUUACUACAACCAAUACAUUAUGAAUAAAAAUAAAUAAAUAACAGAGCUGAUGAAGUAGCCGGGUGACAGAAACAGCCAUCUCUUUAAUCGAAAUGUUAUGAAACUAAAUACUGUUAACAGUGACGACUGUAAAUCUAAAUCAUACAAGAGUCUUGAUUCGAUGUUUGUGUAUCAAACAAUACGUUCAACACAUAGCAUAAUUAACCCAUGAAAUACCGCUUAUAUUACUUGAGCUGUAAUGAACAUCGUGGGGAGGCUAUGGAUCAGGUGGUAGAGCGGGUUGUCCACUAAUCGUAGGGUUGGCGGUUUGACUCCACAUACCGAAGUGUCCUUGGGCAAGACACUGAACCCCGAGUUGCUCCCGAUGGCAAGUUAGCGCCUUGCAUGGCAGCUCUGCUACCAUUGUUGUGUGUGAGUGUGUAUGAACGUGUGAAUGAGAAACAGUGUAGAACCUCUAAGGUUAAAAAAAGUGCUCUAUAACUGCAGACCAUUUACCAUACCAUACCAAACAUCACUUCCUCUGUUUCUCUAAUCAGGAGAGGCUAUUGUCGUUCCAAAAAAAACCCCCCGAAAAAAAUCACGCCUUUCCUAAGCACACUGUUUUUCAUGAGAUGCUACUACACUAGUCAGAGCUAAUACUAUUAUUAAAUAUCUAUGCUGAUAUCAUGCAGAUGAAAGCAUGAUGCUUUAAGACAGCGCUUCCUGGCUGAAUCGUUCAGAACUGCAGAAAUGAGACUCGGUGUAGAGGAGAACGCAGGAUUCAGAAACAUGUUCGAGGUACAGAGAGCUGCGUGACUUCAGACACGCCCCCUUGACUUGAGAGUCACACUAGCAGCCAGGGUCGCAUUUUAUUUGUUUUUUGGAGGCUAUCAAAGACUGUGGGGGAAGAAAAAAAAAAAAAAAAAAAAAAAA